Molecule: long non-coding RNA, 4584 nt
Organism: Gadus morhua (Atlantic cod)
Lineage: Eukaryota; Metazoa; Chordata; Actinopteri; Gadiformes; Gadidae
Source: Ensembl
CUGCGGCUGCUGCACCGGGGCUGGAGUCGGAGGCGGCCCCAUGGAACGCUGGGACCGACCUAGACCCCGCUUCCUCUCAGCCUGCUGGCGGGGGGGGGGCCGUGAGAAUCGUCCCGAACCGGGAACGAUUCUCACGGACUGACUGCUGGUGCGCGAGCACCUCGGAGAACCUGGGACCAAAUAGGCCAUCCGGCGCUGGUGGACCCUGGACGAGGCUGGCCCGCUCUCGUUCCGGCACCGCAGUGUGGGAGAGCCAUAUGACCCUUUGAAUCAUGGUAGCCCACGCCAUAUGCUGGCCGGCCGAAACGGCUAUCGGCUGGCAUAACUGGAGGAUGGCGCUGGAAAAGCGGGAAACCGCCAGCCAUCUCGCGGCUUCCUCCGGGCCGCAGGCCUCCCUGUCAGCCGACAAGGAGACCAUGGCAGAGGAGAGCAGGGCGAUGUUGUUGACCGCCGCCGCGGAGGGGCAGCGGCUUUUCGUUAAGGAGCCAUCCGGCGCCCGGACAGAGAAGCGCUGCCAGGGGAGGCUCCAGACGAGGGAUCCCCCUCGCCUGAGUAUCGGCCCACCCCUCCACGUUGGUGAAAUCCGUGUAGGAUCUUACCGGAGCCUUCAGGGUCGAAGGGUCCUCACCGGCAGCAAUAAACAAGUGCUGCAAAGGCGGGAACAAGGGGCACUGGGUAACCCGCCGGGAAAAAGAUGGGGUGCGAAAGCACUCGCCCUGCAUAUCGUCAGAUACGGGGGCGAGAGGCGGGGCCGGCAUGGGAAUCCCUUUGAUGGCCGCCGCCUCACUCAUGAUCUCCCGGAAGAGAUCGGUCAUCCGGCGCGGAUCCUCGUGUUGUAUGACGGUGGCGGUUGUAACCCGAGAGCGGGAAAAACCGGACGCCGAGUCGCCGAAGACGUCGUCCAGGGAGGCGUCGAUGAUGCCAUCGUCGACGUCAGGUCCGAAUAGGUCGAUGGCGCCAUUUCCACCGCAGGGGAAAAGAAGAGAUGCCUGGAGAGGAUCCCCUCUUCAGGCAGCUCCCGGCAGGCGACACAGGAGACGGGGGCCGCCAUAGCAGCCGCGGCGUGGUCGGCGCCGAGGCACCAAAAGCACGCCAAGUGCCCGUCACCCGGUGCCAGGGAGGCGGGACAGGAGGCGCAUAGGAGUCCUGAAAAGGACCUAGCUCUAGGAGCGCUCUCAGGUGGCCCUGAAAAGGGCCGUUUGUCCGCGGCCUCGCCCGAGCCGCUGCCACCGGCUUGGGAGAUCCGUGUUGAAGUUCUCAUCUCCUUAAUAGUAGUUCUCAAUUUCUCGCAGAUAAGCACAAGUGCUGAAAGAAAAGGGAGGAUGAGCGACGGUAUACACCGCGUUAUAUAGACACGAUACCGUGGGAAAUGAAUCAGAAUCAGAAUCAGAAUCACUUUUAUUACAUCUUAUAGUACAGUACUCAAGAGUAAAAAUCUUAGGCUUGGUUCCUCAACAUUCACAUAGCAGCAACAGUAAAAGAUAAAAUAAAUAAGAAUAAGAAUAAGAAACCAUAUGAAAAGGAACAAAGUAAAAAUAAAUAAAUAAAUAAGUAAGUAGCAGCAUCAAUAAUACUAAAAAGUAACAACAGUCUGUUGUUGUGGUGUGCGUGUGGAUGGUUGGGGCGUAGUGUGUUUUUCCAGGAGUCUGACUGCUUGGGGGAAAAAACUGCUUGUCAUCCUCUGGGUUUUGGCCCUUAGGCUUUGGUACCGCCUCCCUGACGGCAGUAGCUCAAACAGUUUCUGGUUGGGGUGGCUGGGGUCCCCAAUGAUUCGGAGGGCCUUCCUGACACACCGGGCCUUGUAGGUUUCCUGGAUGGAGGGAAGCUCACAUCCGCUGAUCCUCUCAGCUGUCCGCACUACCCUUUGCAGCAUUUUGCGGCUUUGGGCAGUGCAGUUCCCGUACCAGGCAGUGAUGCAUCCAGUCAAUAUGCUCUCCAUUGUGCCUCUGAAGAAGGCCCCCAGGAUCUUGGGCCCCACGCCAAACUUUUUCAGACGCCUAAGGUGAAAUAGGCGCCGCUGUGCUUUUUUCACCACCUGGUUGGUGUGCUCCUCCCAAGUGAGGUCUCUGGUGAUGUGGACUCCCAGGAACUUAAUGCUGUGUACCCUCUCCACAGCAGACCCAUUGAUGGAGAUGGGGUGUUGAAUCUGUCUCUUCUUCCUGAAGUCCACUACGAGCUCCUUGGUCUUAUCGGUGUUGAGAAUGAGGUUGUUGUCCUGGCUGUACUGAGCCAGACAGUCGACCUCGCUCCUAUAGGCCGUCUCAUCACCAUCAGUGAUCAGGCCCAUGACUGUCGUGUCAUCGGCGAACUUGAUCACUGCAUUGGAUCCAUGUGUAGCCACGCAGUCGUGGGUGUAUAGGGAGUAGAGGAGGGGGCUUAGGACACAGCCCUGGGGGGCUCCUGUGCUGAUGGUCAGAGGGGCGGAGAUCUUAGGACCCAUCUUCACCACCUGUUUUCGAUCCGUCAGGAAGUCAAGGAUCCAGUUGCAUAGGCUGGGAUCAAUGCCUAGAUCCCUGAGCUUCCUGUCAAGUCUGGAGGGAACUAUUGUGUUGAAUGCCGAACUAUAAUCAACAAACAGCAUCCUCACAUAGGUGUUCCUCUUGUCGAGGUGGGCGAGGGCUAAGUGGAGUGCUGUGGCAAUGGCGUCAUCUGUCGAUCUGUUCUUCCGAUAGGCAAAUUGGUGGGGGUCCAGGGCUGGUGGCAGCAUUCUGCAGAUCAGCACCUUGAUGAGCUUUUCAAAGCAUUUGCUCACUAUGGGGGUGAGAGCAACAGGGCGCCAGUCGUUUGGGCAUGUUACCUUGCUCUUCUUUUGUACAGGAAUGAUUACUGAUGACUUGAAGCAGGCUGGCACUAUGCCCGUGGAGAGGGAGAGGUUGAAAAUGUUUGUGAAUACACCAGCCAGCUGGUCCGCACAUACUUUGAACACCCGGCCAGGUAACCCAUCUGACCCGGCCGCUUUUCGGAUGUUGAUGCGUUUGAACACCACACGUACAUCCUCUUCUGUGAUGACAAGAGCGCUGGCUGUAUUAUCUGCGUCCUCUGAGUAGGUCCUCUCUAGGAGACUGGUUUGGCUCACUUCAAAGCGGGCGUAGAAACUGUUCAGCUCGUCAGGUAAAGAGACAGAAGUAUCAGCUGUGCAGCUAGAGGUCUCUUUGAAAUCAGUGAUGGUGUGUAGUCCCUUCCACAUUCUGCGUGGGUCAUUGCUGCUCAGCUGUGCCUCUAUUUUUUUGCCAUAAUCCCUCUUUGCUGCUUUGAUCACUUUUCUUAGGUUAUACCGGGCAGCUUUAAUUUCAGUUGUAUCUCCCGUUUUGAAUGCUGUUUUCCUAAUAGUAAGUGCUGUAUUAACAUCAAAAUUAAUCCAUGGUUUCCUGUUUGGAUAUACACGGACUGUUUUUGUGGGCACUACUUCUUCUAUCACCUUUCCAAUGAGACCCAGCGCUCCUUCCGCGAUCUCGUUGACGUCACCACUGUUCUCCGCGAACUCAGUCAUGGAAUCAAAGCAGUCCUGGAGGAUAGCGUCUGAUUCGUCAGACCAGCAUCGACAUGUGCGCGUGAUUGGUGGAGACGUUUUCAGCCUGUGCUUGUAGGCGGGCACAAGGAGAAUGGAAGAGUGGUCUGAUUUGCCGAACGGGGGGCGGAGGAGGGGUUUGUAUGCAUUGCGGAAUUGAGUGUAGGCGUGAUCCAAGCAUCUUCCGCCUCUCGUAUUUACAGUUAUGUGUUGAUAGAAUUUUGGCAAAACUUUCUUCAGCGACGCUCGGUUAAAGUCUCCAACCACUAUUAGAGCGGCCUCUGGGUGACUGUUUUCUAUUUUGCUGAUGGUUACGUACAGUUCCUUGAGUGCGACGUUUGUGUCAGUUUGUGGUGGAAUAUAAACUGCUAUGCAUAUGACAGCAGUAAAGUCUCUCGGAAGCCAGUGUGGGCGGCAGAGCAGGACUAGGUAUUCGAGGUCCGGGGAGCAGAAUGACUUGAGUGAGUGAACACUUACCGGUUUACACCAGGCUUUGUUCACCAUGAAGCAUACACCUCCGCCUUUACUUUUCCCCGAAAGUUCUCUUGACCUGUCCGCACGAUGUACAGAGAAGCCCAUGGGAGAGAUUUCGUAGUCCGCGAUAUGUUCACCCAGCCACGUCUCUGUUAGACAGAUGAUAUGGCAGUCCCUUGUUUCCUGUUGGAAGGUAAUCCUUGCUCUCAACUCGUCCAGUUUGUUUUCUAUGGAUUGUACGUUGGCUAGCAGAAUGCUGGGGAGAGGUGUUUUGCCUUCUCGCCGUCUGAGUCGGACGAGCAGGCCAGCCCGUCGCCCACGUCUCCGGCGUCUCCGACGCGGUAGUAGGGCCGUUGUUAGGCAUUUGUUUACGUUUGCCAGCUGGGGAUCCCAGUAGAAAAACUCCGGUUGACAGUGAAUAAUUCCCGAAUCUCUUAUGUUCAACAGUGUCUCUCGGUCAUAUAUAAUGCAGCCCGCAACUUUACAGGGUAAAAUCACGCAUAAAAACACUAAAAUAAGUAAAAUACUGCUAUGUUGUUGAGGAGUCCGUCGCUCGCUCGCCUUAACCGGCGCCGCCACCAUGACAACCCACUCAAAUGUGG